UGAAAAUUGAGGCACCUUUUCUGAAUAUUUGUUUCGACGUUUCUUCUCCAAGUGCAAGGGCUUUUAAUCUUCCUUAUACACUUCUGUCCCAUGGUAAUCAAACCAUACUCUUCCCCAUACACUUCUCUUCCAUUAGCUUAUACAAUAUUUUCAUCGUCCUAUGUUUUUCUCAAUAUCUUCCCCAAUUUCAAUGCCCUCAUCUCUGGCUGAAUUGCUCAGCAUACUCCGUGAAUCAAAACUAAACAAAGUCCUUAGAAAAUUUGAGGAUUUUCAUUUAAAGGUGACAAGGAACAAGAACAUCAUUGGUGCAAAGUUGUUGAAUUAAUAAAUAGUAACAAAUUAAAUGAGGAGCGGAAAUUGAAGUUCUCUUUAGUUUGGUUUAUCCACUCGAUAUUGGUUUCCCAUGAUCGGUCUACGAUUGUGGGUUUAAACGACAUCAAGACGGUAGAUGAUUUGGAUUUCUUCAACAGUCAUCCAUAGGAAAAAGAGUCAUUUGAUUAGACAUUAACCUAUCUAAAGAAUCAAAUUAAUUUGUGGAAGCAGGGGAAAAUGUAUACUGAAAAGAAGAAUGCAUCUUAUGGUCUGUACGACUUUCCCUGGACAUUAAUGAAUUACAUGGCAACAUUUAAGUCAUAUACAGAUGAAGAUAAGGUCACAAUCAUAGAUAUCUUGAAGGCCCAAUUGAAAGGCGUGACCGUCCUCACUUCAGAAGUAGAGAGCGCGGACGAUGAAUAUUUUGGUGAUCAAAAUAUUAUUCAACGUUGUGUGAAUUCAGUUUCUAGUAAAUGGAAAGAUGUAUUGAGUUCUUCUAAUGAUGGAAAUUUGGAAAAUCUGAGUAAUCGUGUUGUAUCCCUUGAGAAUUUAAUGGUGGAAGUUGUUGCUUAUGUACAGGAAGAAAGAUUGAGGAGAGUUGUUUAGAAUUAAAAAAAUAACAAGAAAAAGUUGAUGAAGAUCUUGCAGAAAGUGAUGAAGAACUUUUUGCAAUUGAUGAAUUCCUUACAGAUGAAGUUAAUGAAGUGGCAGAUGAUGUUGUUGAUAGAGUUACAAGUGAUCUAGUUGAUGAAGUUGCAAUUAAUGCAAUUGAUAAAGUGACUGGUGUUGUAGUUGAAGAAGUGGCAAUUGACAUUGUGGCAGUUAAUGUAGUUUAUGAUGUGGUAGUAGUUCUACUUCCGUGAAUAUUAAUAUUGAUUUUGUAAUGUCAUAUUUGAAGGGUCUCCUUCAAUUCAGAUACUUUUGAAAGUAGGUUCUUAGCGGCUACUUUAAGCCGCAAUUAUCCCUGUAUGCUUAACUUUUAAUA
Molecule: long non-coding RNA, 1297 nt
Organism: Solanum lycopersicum (tomato)
Lineage: Eukaryota; Viridiplantae; Streptophyta; Magnoliopsida; Solanales; Solanaceae
Source: RefSeq, a predicted model, not a curated record